This 887-nucleotide ribosomal RNA is filed under the name uncultured eukaryote. RNAcentral describes it as "SSU rRNA". It matches the Rfam family "Eukaryotic small subunit ribosomal RNA", at positions 559 to 1471 of the family's 1831-position model. The record is from RNAcentral.
GCCUUGUGCCAGCAGCCGCGGUAAUUCCAGCUCCAAUAGCGUAUAUUAAAGUUGUUGCGGUAAAAAAGCUCGUAGUUGGAUUUCUGUUGAGGACGACCGGUCCAUACCACGUAUGCGCAUCUGGCUCGGCCUCGGCAUCCUCUCGCGAAACGUUUCUGCGCUUGAUUGCGUGGAGCGGGUCUCGGGACUUUUACUUUGAGGAAAUUAGAGUGUUCACGGCAGGCUAUCGCCCGAAUACAUUAGCAUGGAAUAAUACUAUAGGAUUUCGCACCUAUUUUGUUGGUUUCUAGGCGUGAAAUAAUGAUUAAUAGGGACAAUUGGGGGCAUUCGUAUCAACACGUCAGAGGUGGAAUUCUUGGAUUGUGUUGCGACGAACUACUGCGAAAGCAUUUGCCAAGGAUGUUUUCAUUGAUCAAGAACGAAAGUAAGGGGAUCGAAGACGAUUAGAUACCGUCGUAGUCUUUACCAUAAACUAUGCCAACUAGAGAUGGGGCAUCGUUCACUUACGACUUGCUCCGCACCUUAUGAGAUAUCAAAGUCUUUGGGUUCCGGGGAGAGUAUGGUCGCAAGGCUGAAACUUAAAGGAAUUGACGGAAGGGCACCACCAGGAGUGGAGCCUGCGGCUUAAUUUGACUCAACACGGGGAAACUCACCAGGUCCAGACAUAAUAAGGAUUGACAGAUUGAUAGCUCUUUCUUGAUUUUAUGGGUGGUGGUGCAUGGCCGUUCUUAGUUCGUGGAGUGAUUUGUCUGCUUAAUUGCGUUAACGAACGAGACCUUAACCUGCUAAAUAGGAGCACCUAUCUUCGGAUAAGUGCCUUUCUUCUUAGAGGGACUUUAUGCGUUUCAGCAUGAGGAAGUUUGAGGCUAAAACAGGUCUGUGAUGCC